UUUCCUUACUUGCUGCCUAUAUUGACUGCUUUUAGGCCAGAUACAGAGAGAAGAGUACACCUCAGGUUUGAGAGCUGAUGCAGCUGACACCAUUACUCUUGAAGUCCUGCCCAGUAAGUCCUAGGGACACAUCUUGUUGAAAGCUGAAGAAUAUUGUAUAAAGGCUUUAAAGAGCAACAAAGAACUUGAUAAGCCUGUCUGUUUCACUGCUGUUCUUCACCAAACUGAUGUAAGAUGUAGUACAUCCAUCCAUGACUGCUUCUUUUUUCUCUGAGCAAUGUGCACAAGAGUUUCUGAAUCCAACCAUCUGUAAUUUUUUUUCUUGGCAGAAAUUAAAUUUGGUGGAUAUAGGCAUAAGGAUGGACUAGGAUACUUGUCCAAAUGAGCAGAAUGACAAUAUCCCUAAUGGGAACUGUUCAUAACUAGAAGUUACCAUGGUAUUCCUAACUACUUGUUUUAUUUUAGUAUGUUGCUUGAGUAGUUUCAAGAUGGUAUUUGUAUAAUAUCAGGGUAUUAAAAAGAUAAUAGAAGGAGUCUAUGCCAUUUCUUUUUCAGUUCUAAUGUAAUAAAUAUUUGACAUAACAAAAAAAUAACAUUUUGAAUUGCUUUUGGGUAUGACAGAUGUACACCCAUUAAACUGCUGUCAUUUCAGUUGGAAAAAAGUCAUAUAGAUCCACAUUAUGAUUCACUGAUUCAUCUAUGUAGUCUUGUUAGCUGCAAAACUGAAAAUAUUAGAGUGAAAAAGCAUUAGUUAGCCAAACUUGAGGAAGUAAUAUGCAUAUUUUGUCAAAAAUCUUGUUCACCAUCUGCCCUUUGGAAUAUACACUAACAACCAACUGAUUCUAAUUAUAAACAUGGGGGGAAAAACCCCAACUCUCAUGAAUUAAUCCUUAUUCUUCAGAUGCUGGAAUACUUUCCACUAGAGUAUUUUUCAGGCUGCUGAUUGGGGUGGCCCAUGUAAACUCUCUUGUAGGAUUCAUAUAUUGAUGAGGAGGAAAUGGCAGAGAUAUGAAAAAGUCACCAUCACCAACCCUAUCUGCUUCUGUUCUUCAAGUUACCUUGGAACGAGCUCCUCCUUCCUCAUGUAGAAACACUAACUGGCAGUGAGAGGGGAAGAAAAUGAACAAGAAUAUCUUGUUUUAUUAAAGGUUUUACUGAUAUUGUAAACCCCCUUGAGGUCUUCAGAUGAAAUGUGUAUUGAACCAACAUCAGGUGAAGAAAAAUACCAAUUGCUUUCCUUUAUUGACUUUAUUAUGAAUAAAGUCAGUGAAGCAAGUUCUGCUGAACUGAGCACAUCAAAUAUCCCUAGUUUGUGAGGGUCUGAAUUAAACCAGGAGUCUCAAAUUGAGGACAGCAAUGCCAAGACACUGCAUCACCAUGACAACUUAAUAGAGAAAGAGCUGCCAGUCUGCUGUCUACUAUGUUGAAGUGAAAGAUAGUGCAUGUUUCCAGUCCAACAGCAGUUGGGUGAUGUAUGGGGCCAAUUGUACUUCACCUGGUUCUAUAAAGCUGCUGACUUUGGCCUGUUGAUUUAGCUUGAGUCAUUCUGAAGUUACCCAUUCCAGGUUGCUUACCUGUUUGAGUUUAGGUAAUUUAACCUGAUAAUCUGUUACAUCAUAUGCUUUGCUUCUCAGAACAGUGUGUUUGAUUGAUUGAUUGAUUGAUUGAUUGAUUGAUAUACCACCCUUCCAAAACGUAUAUAUUCAGAAUGCAUAUUCUGAAAGGUGGGGCUUAAGGAUAGGACUUUGUAGUACAUGGUUUAUUAUUAUCUCUUUCUCCUAUGGACAGGUAUGUAUUGGGAACAACCCCCCUGCCCCCACAAUAAACACCUUCCCACAAAUGGGAAAUUAAGAGAUGUUCUCCUUCUAUAACUCAUGUCUUAUAAUGGAUAAAAAGUAUCUCCAUGAAAGAAUUUCAAGAAUACAGGUUCCAGACUGAUUUUUCCCAAUGUCUUUGCAGUAAACAGGCAAAUGAAAAAUUGGCCAUCUUAACAAUAAAGAGUAAAGUAAUGAGAUAAAUGUUUGAUAGGUGAGUUUGCAAUAACAAAGCAGCAUUAAUGAGAUAGGAUUAUUACUUCCUAGAAGCUAAUGAACUAGAUGUAGAACAGACAAGGGAAAACACCUCUCCACUAACUAUGGGAUUCUGAACUGUUGGUCAGACACAUUCUUUCAUUUCUGUUUUCAAUAUUUUAAAAUGAUAUCUAAAAUAUGAAAAGACCUUUUAUCUAUAGUCCACAUUUGUCUAAUUUAAGUAGAUCAAAUUGAAACUCAUUACAAACUGAAAUGAAAUAGAGACUUAUCACUAUCCAGUAUAGUCAAUGAGCUGUGUGCCAUGCCCCUGCUACCCAGCUGACCAAUGUGCCUGUGUGGUGGCGGCCAUUUAAGGGGUCAGCAUGGCAAAACCUGACAAUAUAAUAUCAUUGAUUAGAGGGUUGCAACUUCUCUAAGGCUGGGUUCUGUCAACCAUGUUAAUCUCAGUUAAAUGAAAUAAAUGCCUUUUCCAUGUCAAGCUAGCUGAAUGCUUGCUAAGAGUUUUGAAAUAUACAUGUUUAGCCUACCAUACCUUG
Long non-coding RNA from Hemicordylus capensis (graceful crag lizard), 2566 nucleotides. RefSeq lists it as uncharacterized. The transcript has 3 exons. The record is from RefSeq and is a predicted model, not a curated record. NCBI's taxonomy places the organism in Eukaryota, Metazoa, Chordata, Lepidosauria, Squamata, Cordylidae.